Molecule: long non-coding RNA, 517 nt
Organism: Mustela lutreola (European mink)
Lineage: Eukaryota; Metazoa; Chordata; Mammalia; Carnivora; Mustelidae
Exons: 2
Source: RefSeq, a predicted model, not a curated record
GUGUUGCUAACGGUAAGUUCUAUAGCUCUCGGGAAGGGAGAGGUAGGAAAAGGUAGGAAGAUGGGGAAGGGAAGGACCUUCUAGUUCAUCUUCUUAAAAUUGGAAAGCCAAGUCAUAUUCAGCUACUAAGUCUAUUUGAAUACAAACAACUCAGAAUGGGGCGUCUGGGUCUUCCUCCAGGCCGAGCCCGAGUCUUGCCAAAUGAACUCUGCUCUUGUUUCCCAGGUCGCUGCCCCUCUGCAGCUGAGAGCCCAGCCGGCUGUUCCACAACACACUGCCUCACUCACUCUUCCUGUAACAAGGAAUAACUUCCGUUGACACUCCACAGUUUCCAGAAGGCUGCAUUGUUCUUGAGUCCCAUGUUGGAGUUCCCAAAGACCUCAUUUCCUCUGGUUAUUCUUCGGCCUUCCCUGGCCCUUCUUUGAUGGACUGCACCGCAAUUUUACUUAAGACCGGAAGAGGCUUUAGAGCCUGAAGGUACUGGAAGAAGAGAGAAAUAACCUUUCACUUGUUCUCA